UACGGGGGGGGCAAGCGUUGUUCGGAAUUACUGGGCGUAAAGGGCUCGUAGGCGGCCAACUAAGUCAGACGUGAAAUCCCCAGGCUCAACCUGGGAACUGCGUCUGAUACUGGAUGGCUUGAAUCCGGGAGAGGGAUGCAGAAUUCCAGGUGUAGCGGUGAAAUGCGUAGAUAUCUGGAGGAAUACCGGUGGCGAAGGCGGCAUCCUGGACCGGCAUUGACGCUGAGGAGCGAAAGCUAGGAGAGCAAACGGG
This 253-nucleotide ribosomal RNA is filed under the name uncultured bacterium. RNAcentral's name for it is "partial 16S ribosomal RNA". It matches the Rfam family "Bacterial small subunit ribosomal RNA", at positions 524 to 776 of the family's 1533-position model. The record is from RNAcentral.